ACAUGUUUAUUGUUUAAUUCCAUCCCUUCCCAUGUCCCAAGAGUCAAUCGAAUCUUUCUUUCCUCUUCAAUUUAAUUGUUUUAAUAUAAAUAUAAAAAACCUUUUUUUUUCUCGUUGGAAUUAAAUGCAGAAAAAGGUUACGGAAAGAGACUGAUGACCGAUUCGCAGUGUCGCAUGUCAUCGUCAUCUCCCAGCUUCUCUCGUUUCUGUCCACUCGAUUCGAUUCCGAUUAAGAUUAGAUUCGAGGUAAAAGAGAAAACCCUGCUCGCGCUGAAGAUAUUUCGCCUCUUUCUUUGGCGGUCGCUGUCUGAAUCAGAUUUUGGAGCUUCGGAGAUCAUCAAAGCUUUGAACUUUGCCAUAUAAACUCCAUUUGCUGGGGAAGGUUGCGAACAUUCUUGCGAAUGACGUAACAGAUCGUGGGCGAGUGGUUAAGCUUUGGGCAGGAGGUAACAUCCAACUUGAGAUCGAUUUCUGGUUGGUGGGGAGGGAGGUAAUUUCUGGGUUUAUAUGAUCCAUAUACAAAGGUUGUUUCCGAACCGGAGGUUUAACUAGUCAGCGUGCCCAAGAGGUAGCAGCUAGGGAUUCUUGCGAAUGGUUUGAUUGUAAACGCCUCUGCUUACAGAUUAGAUUUCGCUGCUCGCCAAUAUCUGAAGCAAGGAUACAUCAUUCUAAUUCACAACGUCAUUUUCUCUGUGAUUAUCAUCACGAAUCACGGUUUUGUGAAUUGCAGAACAAGACCCGACUUGAAGAAGAAGAAGGAGACAGAGAACAAGACCCGACUUGAAGAAGAAGAAGGAGACAGAGAUUGCAGAAGAGAGGAAUCCUUCUUCUGGAAUCUUGAUUGCUUUUGUGUUUUAUCCAUAGUAGUUAUUGCAAGACAAUAAUGUUACAUAUAUUGGGUUGGAUCAAUCAAAGGCUGCAACAUGUUACCCUA
Long non-coding RNA from Tarenaya hassleriana, 934 nucleotides. RefSeq lists it as uncharacterized. The record is from RefSeq and is a predicted model, not a curated record. Lineage: Eukaryota; Viridiplantae; Streptophyta; Magnoliopsida; Brassicales; Cleomaceae. The transcript is spliced from 2 exons.